RNAcentral lists this ribosomal RNA (311 nucleotides) under uncultured bacterium. RNAcentral's name for it is "partial 16S ribosomal RNA". It matches the Rfam family "Bacterial small subunit ribosomal RNA", at positions 502 to 808 of the family's 1533-position model. The record is from RNAcentral.
UAAGAGACAGCAGCAGCCGCGGUAAUACGUAGGUCCCGAGCGUUGUCCGGAUUUAUUGGGCGUAAAGCGAGCGCAGGCGGUUAGAUAAGUCUGAAGUUAAAGGCUGUGGCUUAACCAUAGUACGCUUUGGAAACUGUUUAACUUGAGUGCAAGAGGGGAGAGUGGAAUACCAUGUGUAGCGGUGAAAUGCGUAGAUAUAUGGAGGAACACCGGUGGCGAAAGCGGCUCUCUGGCUUGUAACUGACGCUGAGGCUCGAAAGCGUGGGGAGCAAACAGGAUUAGAUACCCCAGUAGUCCCUGUCUCUUAUACA